This 260-nucleotide ribosomal RNA is filed under the name uncultured bacterium. RNAcentral describes it as "partial 16S ribosomal RNA". The record is from RNAcentral.
CUGCUGCCUUCCGUAGGAGUCUGGGCCGUGUCUCAGUCCCAAUGUGGCCGUCCACCCUCUCAGGCCGGCUACUGAUCGUCGGCUUGGUGGGCCGUUACCCCACCAACUACCUAAUCAGACGCGGGUCCAUCUUACACCACCUCAGUUUUUACCACUGUACCAUGCAGUACUGUGGUCUUAUGCGGUAUUAGCAGUCAUUUCUAACUGUUAUCCCCCUGUGUAAGGCAGGUUACCCACGCGUUACUCACCCGUCCGCCGCU